GCCCCCGUGGUGUAGGUGGAUAGCAUAGGUGGGUUCGCACCGCCUGACUGGGGUUCAAAUCCCCACGGGGGCG
Molecule: transfer RNA, 73 nt
Filed under: Ferroglobus placidus DSM 10642
Lineage: Archaea; Methanobacteriati; Methanobacteriota; Archaeoglobi; Archaeoglobales; Archaeoglobaceae
Description: tRNA-Arg (TCG) (tRNA-Arg-TCG-2-1)
Source: RNAcentral